This 1037-nucleotide ribosomal RNA is filed under the name Escherichia coli. RNAcentral describes it as "partial 23S ribosomal RNA". It matches the Rfam family "Bacterial large subunit ribosomal RNA", at positions 112 to 1191 of the family's 2925-position model. Lineage: Bacteria; Pseudomonadati; Pseudomonadota; Gammaproteobacteria; Enterobacterales; Enterobacteriaceae. The record is from RNAcentral.
UUCCGAAUGGGGAAACCCAGUGUGAUUCGUCACACUAUCAUUAACUGAAUCCAUAGGUUAAUGAGGCGAACCGGGGGAACUGAAACAUCUAAGUACCCCGAGGAAAAGAAAUCAACCGAGAUUCCCCCAGUAGCGGCGAGCGAACGGGGAGGAGCCCAGAGCCUGAAUCAGUGUGUGUGUUAGUGGAAGCGUCUGGAAAGGCGCGCGAUACAGGGUGACAGCCCCGUACACAAAAAUGCACAUGCUGUGAGCUCGAUGAGUAGGGCGGGACACGUGGUAUCCUGUCUGAAUAUGGGGGGACCAUCCUCCAAGGCUAAAUACUCCUGACUGACCGAUAGUGAACCAGUACCGUGAGGGAAAGGCGAAAAGAACCCCGGCGAGGGGAGUGAAAAAGAACCUGAAACCGUGUACGUACAAGCAGUGGGAGCACGCUUAGGCGUGUGACUGCGUACCUUUUGUAUAAUGGGUCAGCGACUUAUAUUCUGUAGCAAGGUUAACCGAAUAGGGGAGCCGAAGGGAAACCGAGUCUUAACUGGGCGUUAAGUUGCAGGGUAUAGACCCGAAACCCGGUGAUCUAGCCAUGGGCAGGUUGAAGGUUGGGUAACACUAACUGGAGGACCGAACCGACUAAUGUUGAAAAAUUAGCGGAUGACUUGUGGCUGGGGGUGAAAGGCCAAUCAAACCGGGAGAUAGCUGGUUCUCCCCGAAAGCUAUUUAGGUAGCGCCUCGUGAAUUCAUCUCCGGGGGUAGAGCACUGUUUCGGCAAGGGGGUCAUCCCGACUUACCAACCCGAUGCAAACUGCGAAUACCGGAGAAUGUUAUCACGGGAGACACACGGCGGGUGCUAACGUCCGUCGUGAAGAGGGAAACAACCCAGACCGCCAGCUAAGGUCCCAAAGUCAUGGUUAAGUGGGAAACGAUGUGGGAAGGCCCAGACAGCCAGGAUGUUGGCUUAGAAGCAGCCAUCAUUUAAAGAAAGCGUAAUAGCUCACUGGUCGAGUCGGCCUGCGCGGAAGAUGUAACGGGGCUAAACCAUG